UAUCAACACAAUUCAGACCUAUAUAAUCAGUGCGUACCUGGAAAAGAACAUUCAGUUGUUCUCUCGACACAGAAACCAAAAUGAAAGCUGCAUUUUUGAUUACUUUUGUAAUGGCCAUCUUCGCUUUAACCAUGGCCAAUCCAUCGCCAAAUCCAAACCCAAUUCCCCAACCAAGACCUCAGUACUGGAAUUACGGCUACGGAAUCGGAAUGCCGUACUACAGAUUAGAUUAUGGGUACUACUUCUAAUGGAGAAUGUUAUUUCGCACAAGAUUCGCAGUGGAAAUAAAUUUUUAUGUUGAA
Molecule: long non-coding RNA, 302 nt
Organism: Photinus pyralis (common eastern firefly)
Lineage: Eukaryota; Metazoa; Arthropoda; Insecta; Coleoptera; Lampyridae
Exons: 3
Source: RefSeq, a predicted model, not a curated record